This 386-nucleotide ribosomal RNA is filed under the name uncultured bacterium. RNAcentral describes it as "bacterial SSU rRNA". It matches the Rfam family "Bacterial small subunit ribosomal RNA", at positions 28 to 417 of the family's 1533-position model. The record is from RNAcentral.
GACGAACGCUGGCGGCGUGCUUAACACAUGCAAGUCGAGCGGUAAGGCCCUUUCGGGGUACACGAGCGGCGAACGGGUGAGUAACACGUGGGUGACCUGCCUUUAGCUCUGGGAUAAGCCUGGGAAACUGGGUCUAAUACCGGAUAUGACUCCAUGAUGCAUGUUGUGGGGUGGAAAGCCUUGUGCGGCUGGAGAUGGGCCCGCGGCCUAUCAGCUUGUUGGUGGGGUGANGGCCUACCAAGGCGACGACGGGUAGCCGGCCUGAGAGGGCGACCGGCACACUGGGACUGAGACACGGCCCAGACUCCUACGGGAGGCAGCAGUGGGGAAUCUUGCGCAAUGGGCGAAAGCCUGACGCAGCGACGCCGCGUGAGGGAUGACGGCCU